This 458-nucleotide long non-coding RNA is filed under the name Hordeum vulgare. RNAcentral describes it as "long non-coding RNA (HVUL_LNC021556)". Lineage: Eukaryota; Viridiplantae; Streptophyta; Magnoliopsida; Poales; Poaceae. The record is from RNAcentral.
GUUGUUGUUGUUGUUGUUGUUGUUGUUGUUGUCGUUGUCUUUGUUGUCGGUGUUGUUGUUGUCAUUGUUGUUGUUGUUGUUGUCGCAGUCAUCGUCGUGAUUGUCAUUGAUGUCGUUGUUGUUGUUGUCGUUCAUGUGGUUGUUGUCAUUGUUGUCGCUGUUGUCGUUGUUGUUGUUGUUGUUGUUGUUGUUGUUUAUGCCGUUGUUGUCGUUGUUGUCGCUGUUGUCGUAGUUGAUCUUAUUAUCGUUGUUGUCAUUGUUCUCGUGAUUGUAAUUUUUGUCGUCAUUUCUCUCUCUCUCUCCCCUCCCCCUCUCCCUCUCCCUCUCCCUCUCCCUCCCUCCCUCUCCCUCUCCCUCUCCCUCCCUCUCCCUCUCCCUUCCCCUCUCCGUCUCCCCCCUCCCUCUCCCUCUACCUCUACCUCUCCCUCUCCCUCUCCCUCUCUCCCUCUCCCUCUCCC